Molecule: unclassified non-coding RNA, 375 nt
Filed under: Hevea brasiliensis (rubber tree)
Lineage: Eukaryota; Viridiplantae; Streptophyta; Magnoliopsida; Malpighiales; Euphorbiaceae
Source: RNAcentral
GGAAAAACAAGUAUGUGGUGAUCCCAAAACGCUGCUGCUUUACAUGGCAAUGAAAGUAGUGUAAAUAUCAGUCCUACCAGUGAGAAGCAGGUUAGCAGCCAGCGGGGUGUUUUGUACAGUAAAAGAUAUUGUAAUUUGGUGUAAGCAUUGGAUCUGAAGAAUUGUUAAGGUAUGUUUCUUCUCUUCUAGAGGAAGCUAGUGUCAACUAAAACAAGUGAUGCACGAUACUUGCCCCGAUCUUUUCACAAUCUAGCAAAGCCCUUUAGAAACUAUCUGUAAAUUUCUAGUUCAGGAGUGAAAUUAAGUCUUGUAGACCAGAUUUAGCUUGACAUAUGACUAGUUGUUCUGAAUUUUGAUGUAUUAUGUACAUUCUUG